CGCCAUCCCCGGCCUCUGAGCCCACAGGCUCCUGUUUGGUUUGGGUUCUGUCUCUCCGCCGGGACACUGCGUUUCCCCACACGCCUUCCUCUCCCGGAAGGCACCUCCUGGUUCUCUCCCCGACCCAGUCCCAGUCCCAGUCCCACUGCUCACCAAGAAGGACUGAAGGGGACCCUCUGCGGGUUCAGGAGGCCCUGCCGCGGAAGUCCAACAGGUGACCUUCAGGAAGAUGGUAUGGCUUGGAAGUCGCCCAGAGACCCCAGCCUCUAAUGUCACCGUCUACAGAGACCAGCAGACAGGGACCGAAGAGGAAACCUUAAGACCUUCAUGGGGCGCGCGCCCCCAUCAUCUCCGAUGAGAUGCAGAGGGCCUCUCCAGGAGAUCCAAAGAAUCUUGACCUAUUCCAGGUGGUGGCCACCUCUGUCAAAGGAAUCCAGGUCGCUGGCCAAAGGAGGGGCAAAGGAGCCAAGCCACCAGAAGGGCCCCCACGGCUGGGUCUCGAUGGGCCUCGUCAAGCCCGGAACGUGUAGCCGUGUCAAAAAGUAAAGAAAUGUACAAUGACUGAUGUGGGCGUGUCAAGCACACCAGAGAGCCAGCUUGAAAGGCUUCCCACCGGCCAAGGCAAGAUAAGACAAUGAUAACAAUGGAUAUAACAUAGGUGCGGAGCCUUGUUAAACUGGCGAUGCGAUGACACACCAGUAUCAGUGAACAUUAAGCACCAGAUCUUGGUCUUCAAACAAAAUAAAAAGCAAAAGGGACCAGGGCUCCUUGGAGAACCACCCAGCCACCUCUUUGGGUCUUCAUUUUCCUAUGUGGUCCUCUAUGUACACGUAAAACUCCGUGUGCUUUCCUCCUGUUAUUCUGUUUUUUGUCCAUUUAAUUCUAAGGGCCUGCUGGAGACCCGGAAGGAUCAAAAUAAGGCUCUGGCUCCCCUACAGCUUGACCCAGGGUGAAGCAAUGCACGAGCAGGAGGCAGGCGUGUGAGAGCAGUUAAGGCGCACACCACUGACUUACCUUUUUCUGAUGUCUGUAAGAUGAUCCCUCCCACUCUCCCAAAGCGAGAGAAGGGGCUGAAGGAGACUAGGUUGGGGGCUGAUGGUGUAGACCAGCGGAUGCUCCCCCUGAGCUCAGGGACUGUUUUUUCACAGCUCUCGUGGAGGGGCCCAAGCAAAUGACCUUCAAAGACACUACUGUUGAAAAUGACCAAGGAGUGAGUGUUUCCAACUCUGUGAUUUCUCUGUAGGAAGGAUACAGUGUUAUUAAUCUUACCUGGACUCAGAGCUAGAAUCUGGAACAUGGUUGGAAUCUACUUUUUUAAGCCUGAGAUCAGUAAGUGAAUUCAUGAAGUAUAUUAAAAGCCUAUUACAUAGCCAUGCGCUAUUCCAGCCAAGUAUGAACGGAAGAGUCAACAAAAUAAGCAAGAAAGCCUGCCCUCAGGGAAGUUAGGUCCCAGUGGGUAGAGUCAGAAAACCCAAAUAUACACUGUGUUAGAUCCCUGCUUCUCACACGUCAACGUGUAUAGAAUCAACCGGGACUCUUGUUAAACCGGCGAUUAUGAUUUGGUAAGUUGUGCAAAGGUGAAGCCUAAGAUGCCGCAUCCUUUGGGGCAGGGGGAGCAGCAGAGGGUGAGGGAGAGGGAGAAAGUUACGCAGGUUCCACUGAGACCCUGAGAUCACGACCUGAGCUGGUAUCAAGAGUCCGAGGCUUAACCCAGUGUGCCGGCUAGGAGUCCCUAAGAUGCUGCAUUCUUAAGCAUGCCCCCAGGGUGGCAGGUGACGCUUCUGAGACUGCUGGUCACUGGACCACACUAAUGAAGGUUUUGAUAAAGCCUUGAUAAUAAUUCUGCAGGAAAGAAGAUGGGCAGGAAGAAGUGUUGAGUUGAAAAGGGGUUCUCAAUAAAAAUCUUAAAAAAAGAAGAAAGAAGAAAGAAGGAGGAGGAGGAGAAGGAGGAGAAAGAAGAAGAGGAAGAAGAAGAAGAAGAAGAAGAAGAAGAAGAAGAAGAAGAAGAAAAGAGAAGAAAGAGAAGAAAAGAGAAGAGAAGAGAAGAGAAGAGAAGAGAAGAGAAGAGAAGAGAAGAGAAGAGAAGAGAAGAGAAGAGAAGAGAAAGAAGAGAAAAGAGAAAAGAAAAGGCAGCUCGGGUGGCUCAGUGGCUUAGCGCCUGCCUUCGGCCCAGGCGAGAUCCUGGAGUCCCGGGAUCCAGUCCCGGGAUCGAGUCCCAAAUCGGGCUCCCUGCAUGGCGCCUGCUCCUCCCAUUGCCUGUGUCUCUGUCUCUCUCUCUGAAGAAUAAAUAAAAAUCUUAAAAAGAAAGAAAACGCGUUCUCCUGGUUUGGGUUUAGAACACAGGAGCAGGGCAGCCCAGGUGGCUCAGCGGUUUAGCGCCGCCGCCUUCAGCCCAGGGCUUGAUCCUGGAGUCCUGAGAUCGAGUCCCGCGUGGGGCUCCCGGCAUGGAGCCUGCUUCUCCCUCUGCCUGUGUCUGUGCCCCUCUCUCUGUCUUUCUUGAAUAAGUAAGAUCUUUAAAAAGCAAACAAAACAACCCACAGGGGAUUUGCUGAAAGCGACUUGCCUCUCGUUAUGUGAGUCUUUUCAAAGAUACCGAAAACCCUGAAAGAAAGGAAUUCUUUUUCCUAAAGGAUAUUAUUUCUUUAUUGCUGAGAGAGCCGGUCACCGCUCAAGCACCGAGGCGUCCCAAGGAAGGAAACUCCUCGCCACAUACAGAUACAACCGAAAGUGAGCACCGACGUGAGCGGUCAUAAGGACGACACGGGGACGGAUGACACGCGAGAAGCCCCGAAGGCCAAGCCGUAACCACAAGAAGGUCAAAGAAUAGCUCACGAGGCCUCCGAGGCGCACGCAGCCGGAAACGAGGUCUGAUCUUAGCCACCAGAAUCACCAGGGGAAAGCGCGAACGCAGUCCCCCACUACCACAAAUUAUGCAGUCGAGUUUCCCACAUUUGGGGAAAUCGCAGGG
RNAcentral lists this long non-coding RNA (2968 nucleotides) under Canis lupus familiaris (dog). RNAcentral's name for it is "lncRNA (ENSCAFG00030007234.1)". Lineage: Eukaryota; Metazoa; Chordata; Mammalia; Carnivora; Canidae. The record is from RNAcentral.